AACUUUCAACAACGGAUCUCUUGGCUCUGGCAUCGAUGAAGAACGCAGCGAAAUGCGAUACGUAAUGUGAAUUGCAGAAUUCAGCGAACCAUCGAAUCUUUGAACGCACAUUGCGCCCGCCAGUAUUCUGGCGGGCAUGCCUGUCCGAGCGUCAUUUC
RNAcentral lists this ribosomal RNA (158 nucleotides) under Sporothrix dentifunda. RNAcentral describes it as "5.8S ribosomal RNA". It matches the Rfam family "5.8S ribosomal RNA". From Rfam's summary of the family: 5.8S ribosomal RNA (5.8S rRNA) is a component of the large subunit of the eukaryotic ribosome. It is transcribed by RNA polymerase I as part of the 45S precursor that also contains 18S and 28S rRNA. Functionally, it is thought that 5.8S rRNA may be involved in ribosome translocation. The record is from RNAcentral. Lineage: Eukaryota; Fungi; Ascomycota; Sordariomycetes; Ophiostomatales; Ophiostomataceae.